RNAcentral lists this unclassified non-coding RNA (300 nucleotides) under uncultured Clavaria. Its description in RNAcentral is "sequence contains 5.8S rRNA gene, ITS2". The stretch from base 1 to 71 matches the Rfam family "5.8S ribosomal RNA", at positions 84 to 154 of the family's 154-position model. The record is from RNAcentral. Lineage: Eukaryota; Fungi; Basidiomycota; Agaricomycetes; Agaricales; Clavariaceae.
GUGAGUCAUCGAAUCUUUGAACGCACAUUGCACCCUCUGGUAUUCCGGAGGGUAUGCCUGUUUGAGUGUCAUUAAUAUCUCAACACAGUCAAGUUGUUUGACUUGCACUGAUGCUUGGAUGCUGAAGGUUGCUGGCAAUAUUUGUCAGCUCCUUUUAAAUGUAUUAGCAGAAACCUAUGCAAAAAGCUGGCUUCAGUUUGAUAAGCACUUAUCUGUAUUGCUGUUGCUAGUGAAAUGCCUUGUUUCAGCUUCCAAUUGUCCAAUCCUUUGGACUGCCUCUUGAGGUAAUUUAAUCUUGAC